RNAcentral lists this ribosomal RNA (1570 nucleotides) under human gut metagenome. RNAcentral describes it as "bacterial LSU rRNA". It matches the Rfam family "Bacterial large subunit ribosomal RNA", at positions 405 to 1983 of the family's 2925-position model. The record is from RNAcentral.
AUCCUGAGUAGCGCGGGGCACGAGAAAUCUUGCGUGAAACAGCGGGGCCCAUCCCGUAAGGCUAAAUACUCCCGAGAGACCGAUAGCGAACCAGUACCGUGAGGGAAAGGUGAAAAGAACCCCGAGCAGGGGAGUGAAAUAGACCCUGAACCCGUCUGCCUACAAGCGGUCGGAGCGUUGUUAUGACGUGACGGCGUGCCUUUUGCAUAAUGAACCUACGAGUUACCUUCCCCGGCAAGGUUAAGUACCUAAGGUACGGAGCCGAAGCGAAAGCGAGUCUGAAGAGGGCGGCCAGUCGGGGGGGGUAGACGCGAAACCGAGUGAUCUACCCUUGGCCAGGUUGAAGGUUGGGUAACACCAACUGGAGGACCGGAUGGGUAAGCGUUGAAAAGCUUUCCAAUGAGCUGAGGGUAGGGGUGAAAGGCUAAUCAAACUCGGAGAUAGCUCGUACUCCCCGAAAUGCAUUUAGGUGCAGCCUCUUUAUAGUAUAUCGUGAGGUAGAGCGACUGAUUGGAUGCGAGGGCUUCACCGCCUAUCAAGUCCAGAUAAACUCCGAAUGCGCGAUAUAUAUUUAAAGGGAGUGAGGGCGCGGGUGCUAAGGUCCGUGUCCGAGAGGAGAAGAAUCCAGACCACCGGCUAAGGCCCCCAAAUGAUCGUUAAGUUGAACUAACGAGGUCGGAUCGCAGAGACAGCUAGGAUGUUGGCUUGGAAGCAGCCAUUCAUUUAAAGAGUGCGUAACAGCUCACUAGUCGAGCGAUCUGGCGUGGAUAAUAAUCGGGCAUAAACGAUCUGCCGAAGCCGUGGAUGUCGCAAGACAUGGUAGGGGAGCAUUCCAUGCGGCGUCGAAGAUGAGGGAUGACCCUUGUUGGAGCGCAUGGAAAAGCAAAUGUAGGUAUGAGUAACGAUAAGGGGGGCGAGAAACCCCCCCGCCGAAAGACCAAGGUUUCCUGAUCAACGCUAAUCGGAUCAGGGUGAGUCGGGACCUAAGGCUAAGCCGAACGGCGACGCCGAUGGAAGAAUGGGUUAAUAUUCCCAUACUGCCUCAUGGAGUGACGUGGAGACGGAGAAGUGACAGUCCUGCCGGCUGACGGAAUAGCCGGUUGAAGGGUGUAGAUAUUGAUUCCCGUAGGCAAAUCCGCGGGGAGAGUCGAACCUGACAGUAUACCGAGUACUUGUACGAGGUAAUAUGGACGUAACCAUGCUCCCAAGAAAAUCCGCUAAACUUAUCCAUGCGGCACCCGUACCGUAAACGGACACACGUGGUCGGGUUGAGAAUACUGAGGCGCUCGAGUGAUUCACGGUUAAGGAACUAGGCAAAUUGACCCUGUAACUUCGGGAUAAAGGGUCCUCGUCGUAAGGCGAGGCGCAGAGAAUAGGUCCAGGCAACUGUUUAACAAAAACACAUGGCUGUGCGAAAUGGAAACAUGAGGUAUACAGCCUGACACCUGCCCGGUGCUGGAAGGUUAAGAGGAGAUGUCAUCGCAAGAGAAGCGUUGAAUUGAAGCCCCAGUAAACGGCGGCCGUAACUAUAACGGUCCUAAGGUAGCGAAAUUCCUUGUCGGGUAAGUUC